CCUACGGGGGGCAGCAGUGGGGAAUAUUGGACAAUGGGGGGAACCCUGAUCCAGCCAUGCCGCGUGUGUGAAGAAGGCCCUCGGGUUGUAAAGCACUUUCAGUGAGGAAGAACGCCUGGUGGUUAAUACCCAUCAGGAAAGACAUCACUCACAGAAGAAGCACCGGCUAACUCCGUGCCAGCAGCCGCGGUAAUACGGAGGGUGCGAGCGUUAAUCGGAAUUACUGGGCGUAAAGCGCGCGUAGGUGGCUUGAUAAGCCGGUUGUGAAAGCCCCGGGCUCAACCUGGGAACGGCAUCCGGAACUGUCAAGCUAGAGUGCAGGAGAGGAAGGUAGAAUUCCCGGUGUAGCGGUGAAACGCGUAGAGAUCGGGAGGAAUACCAGUGGCGAAGGCGGCCUUCUGGACUGACACUGACACUGAGGUGCGAAAGCGUGGGUAGCAAACAGGAUUAGAUACCCCUGUAGUC
RNAcentral lists this ribosomal RNA (465 nucleotides) under Vreelandella stevensii. RNAcentral's name for it is "partial 16S ribosomal RNA". It matches the Rfam family "Bacterial small subunit ribosomal RNA", at positions 338 to 795 of the family's 1533-position model. Lineage: Bacteria; Pseudomonadati; Pseudomonadota; Gammaproteobacteria; Oceanospirillales; Halomonadaceae. The record is from RNAcentral.